AGUGAACGCUGGCGGUAGGCCUAACACAUGCAAGUCGAACGGCAGCACAGUAAGAGCUUGCUCUUACGGGUGGCGAGUGGCGGACGGGUGAGGAAUACAUCGGAAUCUACUUUUUCGUGGGGGAUAACGUAGGGAAACUUACGCUAAUACCGCAUACGACCUACGGGUGAAAGCAGGGGAUCUUCUGACCUUGCGCGAUUGAAUGAGCCGAUGUCGGAUUAGCUAGUUGGCGGGGUAAAGGCCCACCAAGGCGACGAUCCGUAGCUGGUCUGAGAGGAUGAUCAGCCACACUGGAACUGAGACACGGUCCAGACUCCUACGGGAGGCAGCAGUGGCGAAUAUUGGACAGUGGGCGGAAGCCUGAUCCAGCCAUACCGCGUGGGUGAAGAAGGCCUUCGGGUUGUAAAGCCCUUUUGUUGGGAAAGAAAAGCAGCAGGUUAAUACCCAGCUGUUCUGACGGUACCCAAAGAAUAAGCACCGGCUAACUUCGUG
RNAcentral lists this ribosomal RNA (492 nucleotides) under uncultured bacterium. RNAcentral's name for it is "partial 16S ribosomal RNA". It matches the Rfam family "Bacterial small subunit ribosomal RNA", at positions 29 to 507 of the family's 1533-position model. The record is from RNAcentral.